GGGGCGGGACAGUAAAUUUGACGUUGUUCUCUCAUCUGUCUGCCAUUAUCAAUCUCACACAUUUUUUUUCUUUUUUGAAAGUCUUGAUAACACUAUCGUGGAGUUUUUCUUUUAUUACCUCAGCAAACAGGACUAUACAAAAGUGAUUAGUUGUACUCUCUUAUUCACUGCGCUCUUAGUUCACCCAACUAUGAAGAUUUCUGCCAUUGAGAAACCCGGAAAUGUGAAAAGGAUCUAUAACCAAAAACGCCACUCAGGCUCAUGUGAGAUAUGAGCUCAGGGCUACAUUUAUGAGAACCAAGAAAUACGAUUUGCAGUUUUUUUAUUGACAAGUCCAGUAGAGGUCGCUGUGUACGUUUUUGGCAAUCUUAAAUAUGAUACUGGUUCACAUUUUCUUGUGCCAUUUCUUACCAAUCCACCAGAGGCCAUUGUGUACAGCUUGUUGUGAAUAAUAAAUCAGCUAGCUAUUGACUGACCUACACACCCUCCCUUAUCGCAACUGAUAGAUUGUGCUUUUAAAAGGAAACUAGAAUUAAGUUAUCACAUUGUACCAUUAUUUUACAUAAUUUUUCCCUUUUUUUCCCAGUUUUACCUGGUUUCUGGAAUUUUCCUUUACUGGACUCAAACUCCAGUCUGCUCCGCUCUGCAUCCCAAAUCCCACACCGUACAUGGCAAACCAGUCAACCAGACAAGCCAUCCAUAUGGAGGAUCCACAAGAAGCCACAAGAUCACCCUGCUUUUAUUGCUUGUGUUUUAACACCACAAGAGGAGGCACAUCUGACAAGAACACAACCUCGGCUGUCACUGCAUACAGUGUCUGAAAUGGUUCUGUGGUGAGAAGGCAGGGCCGAGUCCGUGGGAACGGAAUGAGGCCGCCGCGUAAGUGAAUACACCUGUGGAGCGCACCGGCCUCGAAUACCACGGAAGGAGCUCUGGACUAUGAGAGGAGAAACGAUGCCAGAGGAAGCCGAGAGAGGACCGACCCGGACAUAAUGUUUUACUUUUGCUUUCAGUUUGACUUUCGUUGACAGUUUGCUUUCGUCCGUAUGUCUUGGUUUAGAUGGCAGUCUCCGUGAGACAGAGACUCUCUGUUAAUAAAUAUUUUAA
Non-coding RNA from Danio rerio (zebrafish), 1107 nucleotides. Lineage: Eukaryota; Metazoa; Chordata; Actinopteri; Cypriniformes; Danionidae. The record is from RefSeq and is a predicted model, not a curated record.